UACGUAGGGGGCAAGCGUUGUCCGGAUUUAUUGGGCGUAAAGAGCGUGUAGGCGGCUAUACAGGUCCGUUGUGAAAACUCGAGGCUCAACCUCGAGACGCCGAUGGAAACCGUAUGGCUAGAGUCCGGAAGAGGAGAGCGGAAUUCCUGGUGUAGCGGUGAAAUGCGCAGAUAUCAGGAGGAACACCAAUGGCGAAGGCAGCUCGCUGGGACGGUACUGACGCUGAGACGCGAAGGCGUGGGGAGCAAACAGG
RNAcentral lists this ribosomal RNA (253 nucleotides) under uncultured bacterium. RNAcentral's name for it is "partial 16S ribosomal RNA". It matches the Rfam family "Bacterial small subunit ribosomal RNA", at positions 524 to 776 of the family's 1533-position model. The record is from RNAcentral.